Non-coding RNA from Potamilus streckersoni, 67 nucleotides. NCBI's taxonomy places the organism in Eukaryota, Metazoa, Mollusca, Bivalvia, Unionida, Unionidae. The record is from the annotation of a GenBank genome assembly.
GGUGGCCUAGUGGUUAGAGUGCCCCCAUCGGAUGAGGGAGGUCGCGGGUUCGAAUCCAGACAUACCA